RNAcentral lists this long non-coding RNA (545 nucleotides) under Nicotiana benthamiana. RNAcentral describes it as "long non-coding RNA (NBEN_LNC018233)". Lineage: Eukaryota; Viridiplantae; Streptophyta; Magnoliopsida; Solanales; Solanaceae. The record is from RNAcentral.
AACCCAUUGGCUGUAAGUGGGUCUAUAAAAUCAAAUACAAGUCUGAUUGUCUUGUUGAAAGGUAUAAAACAAGGCUUGUUAUUAGGGGUGAUACACAAGUUGAGGGGAUUGAUUUUACUGACACUUUUUCUCAUGUGAUUAAGAUGACCACUGUGAAAUGCCUUAUUGUUGUGGCUGUCAAGAAUCACUGGCCUCUGUUUCAACUAGAUGUCAAUAAUGCUUUUCUCCAUGGGGAUUUGGAUGAUGUUGUGGCUGUCAAGAAUCACUGGCCUCUAUUUCAGCUUGAUGUCAACAAUGCUUUUCUCCAUGGUGAUUUGGAUGAGGAAGUUUACAUGAAACUUCCUCCAGGUUUGAUAGUUUCUGCUCCUAUUUCUGGUUCUGUUUCUCCUCCUUCUUCUACUUCUUCUCCUCUGGUCUAUAAACUCAAGAAAUCCCUAUGUGGGCUUAGACAAGCAUCCACACAAUGGUAUGCCAAGUUGUCUUUUGCUCUUUAUUCCAGAGGGUACAAACAUUCUUUGAAUGACUAUUCUUUGUUCAUCAAAGGU